UUUCACAAUAAACCAAACUUUACAACUAAGCUAACAAUGAGCUUCUUUCAAAGGAUCAAAAUUGAUAGCACUCUUACCUAAAAAGUAUUGAAGGUCUUUAAAAUCCUUUAUCUUAAAAUUUUGAGAGAGAUUUUUCAAAAUUUUCACAUAUCCUACAACACCACUUGUGAUGAUCAAAUUAUCUAUGUCAACAACACAAAGUUUCAUUUAUAUAUUUCUUCACAAAAGUGCAUGUAUUAGUAAAAAGGAAAAUAAAAUCACUUGAAGAAAGUAUUCUCUAACCUUUGUAACCAAGAUUUAGAUGCUUGUUUUAGAUUAUGGAGUGCCUUUUUUGGUUUGCAUGAAUGCCUCAGCUUCAUAUGAUCAUAAAAUUCCAUAGGUUGAUCAAUAUAUAUGAUGAAACCCUACUCUCUCACAGAAAUGUGUGAAUAACAGCACUCCAGAUAUGCAUAUCUUUUAUCUUUCUUAUAUGUAGUUACAUGUCGAAUUUCUUCAUUCUUUAAUUCAUUACACUCAAUUCAGUUAUGGUUUGCACCAAUUCAAGAGACUGUACAUUAGCCAUUUAAUAUAUAAGACUGGAGUGAGACUAAUUACGCAUUUAAAUGUGUUGCAGGAUGUUAUUUGAAUUACUUGUUCUAACAGGUGCACAAGUUGGGAUGGAUUGGACUUUUAUCUUGAGAAAACGCCAUGAUUUCAAGGCUGCUUUCACCGGGUUUGAUGCAGAAAUUGUCGCCAACUUCACAGAAAGACAAAUAGCAUCAGUGGCCACAAAUUGCAACGUAGAUUUAAACAAGGUUCGAGGUGCCAUCAAUAAUGCUAACAGAAUCCUCCAGGUCAGAUUGUUGAUUGGACCUGAUUUUAUUUAAAUGAUCUUGAUAAUCCAUUUUAUUUAAAUGAA
Magnolia sinica is the source of this 898-nucleotide long non-coding RNA. RefSeq lists it as uncharacterized. The record is from RefSeq and is a predicted model, not a curated record. Lineage: Eukaryota; Viridiplantae; Streptophyta; Magnoliopsida; Magnoliales; Magnoliaceae. The transcript is spliced from 2 exons.